Molecule: unclassified non-coding RNA, 145 nt
Filed under: uncultured fungus
Lineage: Eukaryota; Fungi
Description: sequence contains ITS1
Source: RNAcentral
GUAUUUAUUAUAGUAGUUUACAUUCGUUACAUUAUGUUUGAUGAGUGCCCGAAGGCAAAUAGUUCACAGGUGUUAUAUUGAUAAAAGCUAGGCUCGAAAGCUUCGCCAUUUAUUAAUGAUCCUUCCGCAGGUUCACCUACGGAAA